This is a long non-coding RNA of Macadamia integrifolia, 2667 nucleotides long. RefSeq lists it as uncharacterized. NCBI's taxonomy places the organism in Eukaryota, Viridiplantae, Streptophyta, Magnoliopsida, Proteales, Proteaceae. The transcript has 2 exons. The record is from RefSeq and is a predicted model, not a curated record.
GUGAUUUACUUUGAUCCUGCAAUUACUGGAAAGGAAAAUGUUAGUCAGGGCCCAAAACUGCAUAAUUUAGGGCAUAGGCCUGUUAAGUUUCCAGGCCCAAAAGUAGAAAAAUUCUCAUAUAAAUAUGGCGAAAUUAUCCUUUACCCUCAUAUGCCGAUUCAUCGACACUUUACAUGAAAUUCAGGAUAUCUCCAGCGUAAGUUCAUGAAGACGCAUUGAUAGAUUUCAGGAAUUUCUCUGCGUUAAUUGCCUUUCAGAUGUAUCAGAAGUGAAUUUUGAUCGGUCCUUGCGAUUUUGAAUUCCUUCGCAUUUUGAUCGUGAACUUCUAUUAUGAGAAGUUUGAAACAUAGGGCUUAAGCUCUAGAAUUGAGGUAUAAUUGCUUUUGCUUUACAUUAUUAUGUAGAUGUGUAUCCUUGUAGUCUGAUGCCUAAACCCUGUUCUGCCUCUAUUUGAUUCUGUUUUGGAAUAUUCUAUUGACAUUGUGACCUAGAGAGCUUGCUGCAGUUCCUACAAUUGAUCUCUUGGUUCUCCAUUGGUAUGGGAACUUUUCUGCGUACAAAUUUUUUUUUUUUCUUUUAGUUUUCCAUUUAUUGUGGAUGUGGUAGGCCUAAUGAAUGGAUAUCUUUUUUAGAGAAAUCUUGAGUUAGACCCAAUUUCAUUGGUGAUGUGACAUUGGUUGCAGGUAUACUGCUUAGGAUUUUAACCAUUUUAGUCAAUUUAUACUUGUUUAUUACUAUUCUGCACCUUAUAUUUUUUGUUUUUCCUGUCUAAAGCUGUUUUGCACAUAAGCUCCCUUUGGUUGCAAGUAAAGAGAAGUGAAGGAAGUGAAAUUAAAUUCGAAAAGCAAGUGGAAAUUUUUGCAAUCAUGAUUUUCUAAAUAACUUAAAAUCUUAUAACAGGUAUUUAAUUAAAAAAAAAAAAUUAAGUAGAUUCUUUUCUUCCAAUUCGAAUUCAAGGAAUUUGGUUAAAAAUUGAAGCACAAAGUAGUUUCAAGAUUUAGAAUGUUUUGGGAUUAGUUAAAUUGUCUCUGUUGAUGGUGAUUAGAAAAGUAUUCAUUUUAUUUAUAUUUUAAUUCAUUUCCCUGCCCUUCAGUUCACUUCCAGCCAGGCAGAAACUUAGUAAGUUUUGAUCAUUUAUGAGGAACAAGGAGAAUGGUUGUGGGAUAAUUUGAAAUGAAUAAAUAUCUAAAACUUGUUAAGAAGAAAGAAUAUAACAAAUGAUGCAUGUCAUGCAGUUUGGGAAGAAUUAGGGACCAGAAUAGGCUUCAAGAGAGAAAAUGAAAAAUGUUGAGGAUAAACGUGUUGCUAAAAUUCAUCCCAAAAAAAAAAGGUGUUGCUGAAACUGAGGCUAAAGGGAGGAUAUAUGAGAUCUAUCUUGGAAAUGAAAGGAAGGAUGGAAAAUGAUGAUUUUUUUUUUUGAGGGGGGGGGGUGGGGUGAAUAAAAUUGAAAAUUGGAAAAUACACGUUAAUUGGGCAUGUGGGGAGAAGAAGACUCAAAAGCAUGGCAUGCUUUUCAUCUGGCUAGAAGUAAAGUGAAGGGAAUGGAAAUAAAUUGGAAACUUAUCUAAUCAUUACCAACAAUGAUUAAGUAGCUAUCCCAAACAUACUAGCUAUAAUAAUUAAAUUUUGCUUCACUUACCUACCAAAUUGCUUGGAUUUGAAUAGUCAAAUAUGAUAGGUCUAAGGAACUAUUUGAAAAGUUUGUUUUAUUUCAAAGAUUUGAAGUUAGUUACACAAUCAUGAUUACAAAAAAUUUUAUUUUCUCUUUGACAUUAAUUUCACUUUCCUUUAUUUCUCUUUAGUUGUAACCAUAUGAAGCCUAAGAUAUUUAUUUGCUUGAAAAUGAACUGCACCAGAUAUAGGGGUAUGGUUCUGUAUUGAUUGUUUCCUUUGAGCUUGUUGAAACAAGAGUACCGUAGGCUGAUGGGCUCAAAUAACCAAAUAAGUUUCAAAAUAUGUGGGUUCCUUUGGGCAUCAAGCCCUUGGUCUCAAAUGUUAUAAACUCUUUCUUUGUUUCCUUUUUAGUUAUUUAUUUAUUUACUUCGCUUUUGGGUGUGCCUCUGUGGAGCUUUGUGAGCGGGUAACUGGAUUAUGAUCCUCCUAGCUGUGAAAGAGUAUUUCGAGUCAAGGGCUUCUUCAUACUACUCAUUAAUGUGAGGUAGAAUCCUUAGAAGCCCCAAUUGAUUCCUUGUGCAUUUGGGAGUGCAUGAUGGAGAUGGCGUGUUGCCCCAUGCAACCAAGCACUUGGGUGGAGUAAAUCUGAUGGUAGAGUAUCCAACCUAGAGAAAAGGCCUGAUCAACACUGAAGAACAGGGGAUGCGCUUUACUCAAAUGGUUACUUUAGAGAAGAAUUAAGGGCCCAAAGAAUAAGGAGGGUAAGAAGUUGGAGAAAAGGGUGGAUUACAGGAGGUCCAAGAGAAGAGUGAUCCAUGUUCCUAGUAUAUCCUAUGGUCUUGCACUCCUUAGAACCAAGGAGAUCGAAUCACCUUUUUAAUCAUCUUUUCCUCCAUCACCAGCAAUGUUGACACUUCAUCAAAGAUCCCUUAGUUUCUUUCCAUGCACACACAGGCUAGCUGAUCUCAAAGGAGUGCAAUCACAAAUCAUUUUUGUUGAGAUGACAUCAUGAAAUCAUUCAUCUAUCCAUUUCCUUCCUAGAGGCAGGAAACA